GUGAAUCAUCAAAUCUUUGAACGCAAAUUGCACUCUCCUCGGAGAGUAUGCCUGUUUGAGGGUUAGGCUAUAAAAAUCGACAUCGUUGCUGUUUCGCGGUGGCGUUAGUGGGAAAUUGGGUAAUCUUAUAUCCUUUUGUUUUAUGCGACUUAAAAUUCUCUUUUGGUUCCAUGAACGAUUCUAAGAUAUAUUUCUUUACACGUUUAAGGUAUCGAUCUUUAUUAGACGUGAUCAUCAUAUAGGAUCGCGACCAUAAUGUUUAAUUAAC
This 268-nucleotide unclassified non-coding RNA is filed under the name Glomeraceae sp. Its description in RNAcentral is "partial contains 5.8S ribosomal RNA and internal transcribed spacer 2". The stretch from base 1 to 65 matches the Rfam family "5.8S ribosomal RNA", at positions 84 to 154 of the family's 154-position model. The record is from RNAcentral. Lineage: Eukaryota; Fungi; Glomeromycota; Glomeromycetes; Glomerales; Glomeraceae.